UUUAUAUCUUGACAUUUGAAUGUUCUAUGAGUUCCGUGGCGUGAUUAAAUGAUCCGAUCUUUCACCGUUAAAUGAAACAUCAUUAAAUUAUAUUAAUUAACCAAAUCCUUGCCACAGGACAUUACUUUUCUGAAUGGCAGAAGUCAAGCCUAAGGAAAUGGACAUGGACACAAGUCAUCAGUAUCCAAAGAUAUUCCUUUAAAAAUUAGAGCGUCUCCAGACUUUCCAAAUUGAUGGACUAAAAUAUUGAAUUAGAUUUCUAAUAUUUUGAAUUUACUCAAGAUACAUUAAAUUGUGUUAUAAAUCAACACAAACAAUGUUUUAAAUUUUCGCGGUACUGCUUAAUAUGGAAGGAGCUUGGGUGUCUCCUUGGUGAUUUUCCGGAAAUAGCAAGGCAUGAAUUUGUUUUCUAUUUAAACGAAUGGCGUUCAAACUAACACGAUAAUCAAUCUAUUAUUUAGAUGAUCGAGGUUUAAUAUGUGGAAAUUUCAUCAAGUGUAGCUGCUUGAAACCUUUAACCUUUCUCAUUACCUCUCUCCCUACCAGUUGUCCAAAUAUGAACCAUUAAUAUUUGAAGGAUAAUAUUAAAAAUUGCUUUGGAUUUCCAACUGGUGGGAGACUUUCCUGUUCUGAAAUGAUGAACUUUUUCCAGCUUCUCAGUUUUCUUUGUUUGGUUAAUCAGCUAACUCUAUCAGACUUUUAUCAAAAAUGAAAAAUCCACUAUUGAAGAGAUUAGAAGUCAAGAAUCUUCUAAAUUGAGAGAAAGAACUAAUUAAUCUCACAGAAAAAUGUUCUUACCAUCUCACGCUUUUAGCAAGUUAAUGCUCACCUGAGCAGGUUCAUGAGCAUCUUUGACAGAGGACAUUUACACUGUAAUGGAGAAAGUAGCUCAUAAUUAAUUUGCUCAAACUGGUUUCAUUAACCUGUACAUUCAACAGAGUUAAAAGCAUAUCAAAUGUUAUAUCUCUGGAUGAUCAAAACUUCCCCAAGAAAUGACUUGAACUUUGAGUAAACCCUUUUUAAUUGUUUCAAUCUUCAGCGCUGUAAGGUAAGGUUCCAUGACGAUGUCUUUCAAUCGAAGAAACCAACUCGAAGUUUCUAAACCACGUGUUGAUGUGGGCUGCUAUUUCUAAAUGGCUAGCGAAUUCGGGAAAUCCCUUUUGUAUCAUUCUUUUUCGUUCCAAGACGUAUAAUCAUCUCUAAUUCAAUUAUUCCGCUCUUCUAGUGUAACAGGCAAUCGUGAAUAAUUUAUUUUAUUUGAAGGAACAGUUGAAUUUGAAAGAAAUAAACUGACAGCUAUCAUCGAAGUUACCUAAUCAAAGUUUGGUUUGGCGGAUAAGAGAAUCGUUUGGAAAUAAGUUUCUGUGUUCAUUUUAUUAGACCAUUUAAAUUCUGGUUCCAGGAUAAUUUGAGCAGAUAUUCUAUCAAGAUAGAUUCCACCAGUAAAAAGGAAAGAAGGAGAAACAAAACUCAUCGAAAGAGGCCAUAAAUAGUUACCAAAACCAGAUUAUGGUUUCAAUCACAGGCUUUUCUCAAUUUUUCAGCCUUUAUUUUUGUUCAACAAGUUUCUCUGGAAUAUCAAUAUAGCCUUAGGGUUGAUGAGUUUUCUUGCCUUUCAUCUGACUUUACAUCUCAUCCCUUACAUCCAAAUUUUCAAUAAUUUUUCAAACUCACAAAGGAUAGUCUUUAUGAUGAUGAAUAAUUUCCCAUCUUGGAUAAAUGCUUUCUGUUUUUCUGGUAAUACUGGAAAGAAACAUAUUUAUUAAUUAUCAUUAUCCUAGUCAUUAUAUACCAUUACUAUCACAACUAUCAAAUUGGUUACAAAUGUUGUUUCAACUCUUUUUCAAGCUGAGAAAAGGUUCACCUAGUAACAUUAAUAAAAUGCUGUGAUUAAAA
Tetranychus urticae (two-spotted spider mite) is the source of this 1896-nucleotide non-coding RNA. The record is from RefSeq and is a predicted model, not a curated record. NCBI's taxonomy places the organism in Eukaryota, Metazoa, Arthropoda, Arachnida, Trombidiformes, Tetranychidae.